This is a non-coding RNA of Jatropha curcas, 717 nucleotides long. The record is from RefSeq and is a predicted model, not a curated record. Lineage: Eukaryota; Viridiplantae; Streptophyta; Magnoliopsida; Malpighiales; Euphorbiaceae.
CCUCUUCUUCUCCCUCCAUUUGGCUGAAUAUCUCUCUCCCUUCUCCUCUCAUUUUCUUUUUAAAUCCUUCAAAGGAGACACCAAAAGUUAGAUGAAAUCCCAUGAAAUUAAUCAUUUAUCAUGAAGAUUAAAGCUUGUCUUUGAAGAUUUGAGUUGUGUUCUUCCAAGAAAAAGAUUUAGCGACAGUUUAAAAAUUGGGGAACCCUCAAAAUUGGAUAAAGGUAAAGCAAACGUUUGAAUUAAGGGGAUAUCUAGCAUCUCGGAGGUUGUUUAUUUAAGAUUGUGAAGGAAAUUGCAUGAUAUAUUGAUGGAGCGAAGAAAAUUCAGUUAACCUUUGCAAGUUUAUAAAACCUUUCACCUACAUUCAUUCUGGACAUAAAGAGGAAACUUUGGACAGUUUAUUGUCGAUUUCAUGUGAUUGCCCUGCUUAUUGCGAGCCCUCCGGGAUUGUGCCACCACCAAAAUGGGAAGAUUUAGGGAGGAGAAAGAUUGGUUGAAGGUUUUGUUUGUUGAGGAUAUCGAGUGCCUGUGUCCAGAGAGAAGAUCUUCUGCUUCCAGAUUAGAGUAUAAGUCUAUACUGCAGACUUGUGGCAUGUGUGAGAUUUGAAAUAAUGAGAGCUUGAAUUGAGGCUUUAUUUUAUUUAUUCCAUUGUAUUUGUUUUUGUCUCUUGAACUCUUAGAGGAUUUUAAAUUAUUUCCUCAUGGACUUGGACUCUU